GAUGAACGCUAGCGGGAGGCUUAAUACAUGCAAGUCGAGCGGUAAGGUUUCGGACCCUAGAGCGGCGAACGGGUGAGUAACGCGUACGAAACCUACCUUUAAGAGAGGGAUAGCCCUGGGAAACUGGGAGUAAUACCUCAUAGUAUUCAAUAACCGCAUGGUUUAUGGAUUAAAGCUGCGGCGCUUAAAGAUGGUCGUGCGUCUGAUUAGCUAGUUGGCGGGGUAACGGCCCACCAAGCCUUCGAUCAGUAGCUGAUGUGAGAGCAUGAUCAGCCACACGGGCACUGAGACACGGGCCCGACUCCUACGGGAGGCAGCAGUAAGGAAUAUUGGUCAAUGGACGCAAGUCUGAACCAGCCAUGCCGCGUGGAGGAUGAAGGCCCUCUGGGUUGUAAACUUCUUUUCUUUUGGGACGAAGCCCCUGUUUCUACGGGGACUGACGGUACCAGAGGAAUAAGCACCGGCUAACUCCGUG
Molecule: ribosomal RNA, 475 nt
Filed under: uncultured bacterium
Lineage: Bacteria
Description: bacterial SSU rRNA
Rfam family: Bacterial small subunit ribosomal RNA
Source: RNAcentral